This 600-nucleotide ribosomal RNA is filed under the name Escherichia coli. Its description in RNAcentral is "partial 23S ribosomal RNA". It matches the Rfam family "Bacterial large subunit ribosomal RNA", at positions 614 to 1215 of the family's 2925-position model. The record is from RNAcentral. Lineage: Bacteria; Pseudomonadati; Pseudomonadota; Gammaproteobacteria; Enterobacterales; Enterobacteriaceae.
AAUGGGUCAGCGACUUAUAUUCUGUAGCAAGGUUAACCGAAUAGGGGAGCCGAAGGGAAACCGAGUCUUAACUGGGCGUUAAGUUGCAGGGUAUAGACCCGAAACCCGGUGAUCUAGCCAUGGGCAGGUUGAAGGUUGGGUAACACUAACUGGAGGACCGAACCGACUAAUGUUGAAAAAUUAGCGGAUGACUUGUGGCUGGGGGUGAAAGGCCAAUCAAACCGGGAGAUAGCUGGUUCUCCCCGAAAGCUAUUUAGGUAGCGCCUCGUGAAUUCAUCUCCGGGGGUAGAGCACUGUUUCGGCAAGGGGGUCAUCCCGACUUACCAACCCGAUGCAAACUGCGAAUACCGGAGAAUGUUAUCACGGGAGACACACGGCGGGUGCUAACGUCCGUCGUGAAGAGGGAAACAACCCAGACCGCCAGCUAAGGUCCCAAAGUCAUGGUUAAGUGGGAAACGAUGUGGGAAGGCCCAGACAGCCAGGAUGUUGGCUUAGAAGCAGCCAUCAUUUAAAGAAAGCGUAAUAGCUCACUGGUCGAGUCGGCCUGCGCGGAAGAUGUAACGGGGCUAAACCAUGCACCGAAGCUGCGGCAGCGACGCU